GCAGGUGUAAUCUAGUGGUUAGGAUCUUAGCCUUCCAAGCUAAAGGCCCGGGUUCGAAUCCCGGCACCUGCACC
Molecule: transfer RNA, 74 nt
Filed under: Methanomassiliicoccales archaeon PtaU1.Bin124
Lineage: Archaea; Methanobacteriati; Thermoplasmatota; Thermoplasmata; Methanomassiliicoccales
Description: tRNA-Gly
Rfam family: tRNA
About the family: Transfer RNA (tRNA) molecules are approximately 80 nucleotides in length. Their secondary structure includes four short double-helical elements and three loops (D, anti-codon, and T loops). Further hydrogen bonds mediate the characteristic L-shaped molecular structure. tRNAs have two regions of fundamental functional importance: the anti-codon, which is responsible for specific mRNA codon recognition, and the 3' end, to which the tRNAs corresponding amino acid is attached (by aminoacyl-tRNA synthetases). tRNAs cope with the degeneracy of the genetic code in two manners: having more than one tRNA (with a specific anti-codon) for a particular amino acid; and 'wobble' base-pairing, i.e. permitting non-standard base-pairing at the 3rd anti-codon position.
Source: RNAcentral